Molecule: ribosomal RNA, 253 nt
Filed under: uncultured bacterium
Lineage: Bacteria
Description: partial 16S ribosomal RNA
Rfam family: Bacterial small subunit ribosomal RNA
Source: RNAcentral
UACGGAGGGUGCAAGCGUUAAUCGGAAUUACUGGGCGUAAAGCGCGCGUAGGCGGCGUGAUAAGCGAGAUGUGAAAUCCCCGGGCUUAACCUGGGAACUGCAUUUCGAACUGUCAUGCUAGAGUGCAGUAGAGGGUAGUGGAAUUUCCGGUGUAGCGGUGAAAUGCGUAGAUAUCGGAAGGAACACCAGUGGCGAAGGCGGCUACCUGGACUGACACUGACGCUGAGGUGCGAAAGCGUGGGGAGCAAACAGG